This is a long non-coding RNA of Labeo rohita (rohu), 933 nucleotides long. RefSeq lists it as uncharacterized. The record is from RefSeq and is a predicted model, not a curated record. NCBI's taxonomy places the organism in Eukaryota, Metazoa, Chordata, Actinopteri, Cypriniformes, Cyprinidae. The transcript has 3 exons.
CUGAAGAAGAUAUCACAGGUUCAUCAAGUUCGUUGAAAUUAUCCAUACUUACUUUUAGUCAGCUUUGACGAAACUCCUCUCAUCUAGUGCGUCUUUUCAAAAUGGCUGGCAGUCUUGUCACCUGACCUGAGUACAGCGUGCCGAUUCGCUAAAAAAACUUAGCAGCCUCUGUUCACAAACAGAAGGGUGCUUGUCAGCUUCGACAGUAAAAGGUGAACUCGUGAUGCCUUGAAAGUGGACAAUACCUGCUUUUUUUUACAAAUCGUGUUUAGGGUUCAGAUUGCGCUAUGUGUGGAGAAUAAUGCACGGCACUCAGUUUUUUGCAAAUAAACUAUUCAAAUAGAUUGUUUAUAUAGAACAUCAAAUAAUUUUAUUUCAAAUACAAAGAAUAGAAGUUGUAUCUUGACCCCUUGAAAAAACCUGUUAAUGCUAAAUGAUGGAAAUGAUCUGACCAAUUUCUAUUCAUAUAUACAGAGAGAUUUGAUGUGUGUUAAAAUCCGACCUUUAAGCUAACGUGCUUCUAUUUCUACAAGCAUUUGACUCCUCCCAGGCCGCUGAAGCCCUGUGGUACGGGAAAAGGCGAGAACUGUGGUGGCUUGUGAGGCUUGGUUGGGGCGAAACCGAACAUAUGCACAGUCACAGCUUGUGACCUCAUACACACAGAGGGGCUAAAAAUAGCAGCUGUUCCCGACUUACCAACAACAGACCCUGACCACACACAAUCAAUGUAAACAGGCCAAAGAAGACAGCGCAUAUGAGACAGAAAAUUGCUUACAAUACAUUACCACAGGAAAUGAGUAACUAUGAGUCCAAAAUGCCAUACACACUAUGAAUGCUCCAUCCAAAGCCUCCCAGCAGGACUACGACCAGAAUGAUGAUGACCAGAGCAGGAAGUCCCCAGCUGAGCAGGAAGUAGAGAAGAUAUCGUCUCUC